This 527-nucleotide long non-coding RNA is filed under the name Homo sapiens (human). Its description in RNAcentral is "HSALNT0193103". The record is from RNAcentral. Lineage: Eukaryota; Metazoa; Chordata; Mammalia; Primates; Hominidae.
CUCCCUACUUGGCCUAAGGUUGAGCAGUUUUGCUAUUCAGCAUCAGUGCUGCCAGCUCACGUAUCCUGGGAAUGCAUAUUGCAUAUUCAGGAAACAGAGACAAAUCUUUUUCACUUGAGUCAAGAGGGUUCAGGGCUUGUCAUCUGUUUCUGGGAUAUAGAGAAAUGGAAAAUAGAAGAGUUCUAACCUCAUUCUGUAUUGCAAGGGAAGGAGCUUGUCAUAUAGUCACUUGUGUUGGACCCUUGAAUGGCUCAACUCACUGUCCUCGUACAGUGAUCACUUCAAAGAAGCACGUGUUUCACUGAAUACAACCAGGGGCCCAUCUAUCUCAUGCCUCUAGCUUUUCAUCCUCCUCCCUUGAAAAUUAAGACCCUGUUCCAAACUCACCCCGGAUGGUUUAUGAGACGGAUUUUGUCAGCCAGUUUUGUUUCUGAACUCACAAUGAAGGAACCACAGGGUGGCAGUGUAACAUUGCACAGUUCAAACAAGAGGGCAUGAGACUGCAUCAUCCCAAGUGCACCAACCAG